Pongo abelii (Sumatran orangutan) is the source of this 148-nucleotide unclassified non-coding RNA. It matches the Rfam family "Metazoan signal recognition particle RNA". Rfam says of the family: The signal recognition particle (SRP) is a universally conserved ribonucleoprotein. It is involved in the co-translational targeting of proteins to membranes. Lineage: Eukaryota; Metazoa; Chordata; Mammalia; Primates; Hominidae. The record is from Ensembl.
GCUGGGCAUGGUGGUGCAUGCCUGUAGUCCCAGCUGCUAGGGAGGCUGAGGUAGGAGGAUUGCUUGAGCCUGGGAAGUUGAGGCUGCAGUGAGUCGUGAUUGUGCCACUGCAGUCCAGCCUGGGUGACAGAGUGAGAUCUUGUUUCAA